This 442-nucleotide ribosomal RNA is filed under the name uncultured Myxococcales bacterium. Its description in RNAcentral is "bacterial SSU rRNA". It matches the Rfam family "Bacterial small subunit ribosomal RNA", at positions 29 to 505 of the family's 1533-position model. The record is from RNAcentral. Lineage: Bacteria; Pseudomonadati; Myxococcota; Myxococcia; Myxococcales.
AGCGAACGCUAGCGGGUGGCUUAACACAUGCAAGUCGAGCGCUUCCUUCGGGAAGAGCGGCGAACGGGUGAGUAACACGUAGGAUAUCUGCCUUUUGGUGGGGGACAACCAGGGGAAACCCUGGCUAAUACCGCAUACGGUCUACGGAUCAAAGUCUUCGGACGCCAAGAGAGGAGCCUGCGGCCCAUUAUUUAAUCCUAGUUGGUGGGGUAAAGGCCUACCAAGGGUACGAUGGGUAGCUGGUCUGAGAGGACGAUCAGCCACACUGGGACUGAGACACGGCCCAGACUCCUACGGGAGGCAGCAGUGGGGAAUAUUGCGCAAUGGGCGAAAGCCUGACGCAGCCAACCCGCGUGUGUGAUGAAGGCCUUAGGGUUGUAAAGCACUGUCGUGAGGGAAGAAGUUCUGACGGUACCUCACAAGAAAGCACCGGCUAACUCCG